AGUGGCGCACGGGUGCGUAACGCGUGGGAAUCUACCCUUAACUGCGGAAUAACGUCGGGAAACUGACGCUAAUACCGCAUAAUGACUCCGGUCCAAAGAUUUAUCGGUUAAGGAUGAGCCCGCGUCUGAUUAGUUAGUUGGUGGGGUAAUGGCCUACCAAGACGAUGAUCAGUAGGGGGUCUGAGAGGAUGAUCCCCCACACUGGAACUGAGACACGGUCCAGACUCCUACGGGAGGCAGCAGUGAGGAAUAUUGGACAAUGGGCGCAAGCCUGAUCCAGCCAUGCCGCGUGAGUGAAGAAGGCCUUGGGGUUGUAAAGCUCUUUCAAUGGUGAAGAUAAUGACGGUAGCCAUAGAAGAAGCCCCGGCUAAAUUCGUGCCAGCAGCCGCGGUAAUACGAAUGGGGCAAGCGUUGUUCGGAAUCACUGGGCUUAAAGCGUGCGUAGGCGGACCACCAAGUCAGGAGUGAAAUCCCGGGGCUCAACCCCGGAACCGCUUUUGAAACUGGCGGUCUAGAAACCGGUAGGGGUGAGGAGAAUUCCGAGUGUAGAGGUGAAAUUCGCAGAUAUUCGGAGGAAUACCAGUGGCGUAGGCGCCUCACUGGACCGGCAUUGACGCUGAGGCACGAAAGCGUGGGGAGCAAACAGGAUUAGAUACCCUGGUAGUCCACGCNGUAAAC
This 678-nucleotide ribosomal RNA is filed under the name uncultured Sphingomonadales bacterium. RNAcentral describes it as "bacterial SSU rRNA". It matches the Rfam family "Bacterial small subunit ribosomal RNA", at positions 94 to 807 of the family's 1533-position model. The record is from RNAcentral. Lineage: Bacteria; Pseudomonadati; Pseudomonadota; Alphaproteobacteria; Sphingomonadales.